This 290-nucleotide ribosomal RNA is filed under the name uncultured bacterium. Its description in RNAcentral is "partial 16S ribosomal RNA". It matches the Rfam family "Bacterial small subunit ribosomal RNA", at positions 773 to 1060 of the family's 1533-position model. The record is from RNAcentral.
GUGGAUUAGAUACCCUGGUAGUCCACGCCGUAAACGAUGAGUGCUAGAUGCUGUGGGUAUUGACCCCCGCGGUGUCGCAGCCAACGCGUUAAGCACUCCGCCUGGGGAGUACGGCCGCAAGGCUAAAACUCAAAGGAAUUGACGGGGGCCCGCACAAGCGGUGGAGCAUGUGGUUCAAUUCGACGCAACGCGCAGAACCUUACCUGGGUUAAAUCCACUCGAACCUUGCAGAGAUGUAGGGGUGCUCUUCGGAGAACGAGUGAGAAGGUGCUGCACGGCUGUCGCUAACU